RNAcentral lists this ribosomal RNA (524 nucleotides) under Himantarium gabrielis. RNAcentral describes it as "partial 16S ribosomal RNA". It matches the Rfam family "Bacterial large subunit ribosomal RNA", at positions 1824 to 2600 of the family's 2925-position model. Lineage: Eukaryota; Metazoa; Arthropoda; Chilopoda; Geophilomorpha; Himantariidae. The record is from RNAcentral.
GUCUUUUCGUAAAUGGGAUGAAAAGUCGGGCCUGCCCGGUGAGUGGUUGUUUAACGGCCGCGGUAUUAUGACCGUGCAAAGGUAGCAUAAUCAUUAGUUUUUUAAUUGAAGGCUGGUAUGAAGGGCUUGACGGGGACUUGCUUUCUUGGGAGGAGAAAUGAAUUUAAAUUUAUCGUGAAGAUGCGGUAGCUGGCUUAAGGGACGAGAAGACCCUAUCAAGCUUGAGAUGGGCAGGGGCUGUAUAUUUUAUUUGGUGGCUUCUUAUAUUUUUUGUUGGGGCGAUAGCUAGUUGAGUUGGGAAACUUAGUUUUUGAUGGCGAUAGUGGUGGUUAGAGGAUUUUAAUUUUGUGAUCCAUAUUUUAUGAUAUGGGGAGUAAGUUACUGUAGGGAUAACAGCGUAAUUAUAGUGGAGAGUUCUAAUUGAUAUUGUAGUUUGCGACCUCGAUGUUGAAUUAAGAUACCUGCAGCGGCUGAAGUAGGCUUGUGUGUACGGGGCAGAUCUGUUCGACUGUUAAAUUCUUACA